Non-coding RNA from Megalopta genalis, 1767 nucleotides. Lineage: Eukaryota; Metazoa; Arthropoda; Insecta; Hymenoptera; Halictidae. The record is from RefSeq and is a predicted model, not a curated record.
UAACCGAUCUAUGAUGCACCGUUCUCGUAUUAAACUUCUUCGUUUUUUGUCAACUAUCUGAUUUACAGCUUUCAAUAAUUCGUCCACUGUCUGUGCCGAAGGAAUCUGUAAACAAUCAAAAUUUCAUCGAUUAGAUGCUGACGAUCAUUUGUAAAUAUUAACGUACGCAGAAAUGCUUAUAUGAUUACCUGAGAGAUAUCGAAUGGUUCAUUCAUGGAUGUAUGCAUGUAUUUCAUUAAGGCUACAAUAAUAUCUCUCUAAUUGACGCCCAGAUUGACCACAAAAAUGGACAAUUUGGGAAGAGGAGAUACGAUUAUUCGAGUCUUGCGGUUUAUUUUUAUAGUUAUAAAUUGUCCACAAUUAUAACAGAUGACAGAUGGUGAGGUUGUACCAAGGGAUCACGCAAUUAUAAAUGGAAAGGAUGUGUCUGGAUGACUGCUUGGAAGUUGGCACUUCUUACCCUAGCAAAUGCAAAAUGCGAACAGCGAGGGAAAUAUGUUCGCAGUCUUCAAUGAACUCGCAGAGAUGUGCCAAACCUGUUUUGCGAUCUGCAAAACAGUUGAAGAACACUAAUGGACAAAAACAGAAAACAAGAAACUAGGAAGCCGAAGAUUACUAUGAUUCGGACGAGGACAAUUUUUUAGAUAGGACAGGAUCAAUAGAAAGAAAAUGUGAACAAAGAAUGCGGCUGGCUGGCAAAUUGGAAGAAAAAGUGGAAACAUACAAUUCCUUACUAAGCUUGACAAUUGUGCAUUAUACAUUUCUCAUAAUAGACGUAUCAUUGUAUCCGUAAUUCUUGGAUUUCUUUCAGCUUGAAAAGUAUGCGAAAAUUCUAAAACAGAUUUCGCAUCUGACAGAUUCGAUUAAGGUUAUGUCAAGGUUAUGUACGCAUUCUUUAAAUGCGUGAAUGUGAUUAUGUAUCAACAUCAUCCAAGUUGAGGAGCAAUUGCCGUCUCCAUAGUUUCGGUCGUCUAGAAUUUACGUAUGAAUCGAGGAUAACGGGGAGCACGUAUGAUUAAAACCUCGAGCAAAUAUUCUUUUCAACAAUUUUGUUUAUUACUUUAUUAUUUUUAUUAUAUUAUUUAUUUAUAGUAGGUAUUAUAUAGUAGUAUUUAUUAAUUUAUUAUUUAUUAUUUAUUAUCAGUGAAAAAAUAAGUAGUCUUUUCAACAGGUAUCUCACACACAUUUUUAUCCUUUAACCACUUUCACAAUUACACUAUCGACGGUGCUUAUAAUAAUUUUGGGCUUCGUUCAACAAAUAUACAGUAAUAGUCAAAGCUUUAAGAGAAUUUAAAAAUACCUUGACAUAACCUUGUGCAGGAAACUUCUGCUUCAUCAUGUUAUCAAUGAAAACAAUCUAGUUUGAAUAACUAAUUUUCAUACAUAAUAAUUUUUUUUCAUACAUUUUCAACAUGAUAAACGCAUAAAAAGUUUUUCAUGCGAUUUUAUACUGUAACAUGAGAUUUGUUGAUAAUAGGAUGUUUUUCUACUGUAAGCAAUAUCAAAAAGUUGACGAUCAUAUAUCUCACGUCAUCACGUCAAUAUAUCCACUUUGCAAAAUAUUCCGGGUAUUAAUAUGAUCGAUUUUUUCCGUUUGAUCACGUGCGCUUGAAUUGUACAAUAGCUUAAUGUGUAUGUAAUUACACAAUAAAGGUAUACACAAAACAAAUGCAAGCGUUUCUUAAAAAACAUUCUUUUUUCUUUUUUUACAGAUGAAAUAUGUACAGAUUUAUUGUGUAUUACGUAAUAAAGUGACAUGACGAAAUA